GAUGAACGCUGGCGGCGUGCUAAUCCCUGCAAGUCGCGCGAACGGACGAGAAGCUUGCUUCUCUGAUGUUAGCGGCGGACGGGUGAGUAACACGUGGAUAACCUACCUAUAAGACUGGGAUAACUUCGGGAAACCGGAGCUAAUACCGGAUAAUAUUUUGAACCGCAUGGUUCAAAAGUGAAAGACGGUCUUGCUGUCACUUAUAGAUGGAUCCGCGCUGCAUUAGCUAGUUGGUAAGGUAACGGCUUACCAAGGCAACGAUGCAUAGCCGACCUGAGAGGGUGAUCGGCCACACUGGAACUGAGACACGGUCCAGACUCCUACGGGAGGCAGCAGUAGGGAAUCUUCCGCAAUGGGCGAAAGCCUGACGGAGCAACGCCGCGUGAGUGAUGAAGGUCUUCGGAUCGUAAAACUCUGUUAUUAGGGAAGAACAUAUGUGUAAGUAACUGUGCACAUCUUGACGGUACCUAAUCAGAAAGCCACGGCUAACUACGUG
Molecule: ribosomal RNA, 496 nt
Filed under: uncultured bacterium
Lineage: Bacteria
Description: partial 16S ribosomal RNA
Rfam family: Bacterial small subunit ribosomal RNA
Source: RNAcentral